This 26-nucleotide non-coding RNA is filed under the name Drosophila melanogaster (fruit fly). The record is from RNAcentral. RNAcentral also lists the same sequence under 20 other names. Lineage: Eukaryota; Metazoa; Arthropoda; Insecta; Diptera; Drosophilidae.
UUGGGAAGUCCUCGUGUUGCACCCCC